Ochotona princeps (American pika) is the source of this 351-nucleotide long non-coding RNA. RefSeq lists it as uncharacterized. The record is from RefSeq and is a predicted model, not a curated record. NCBI's taxonomy places the organism in Eukaryota, Metazoa, Chordata, Mammalia, Lagomorpha, Ochotonidae. The transcript has 3 exons.
GGAGGACCGGAGCUGCAAGCUCUGAACCGACCCAGAAGAGCUUGUCUCCAGGACCCCUACUCCCCCAAACAGCCUUGGAGGUGCUCCCAACGGUUUCCAGCUUCCGCCUCACAGGGACUAUCUGGGAGAGAACAAGGACCAAAUCACCAAGCCUCUGGAUGUGGGCCAUGUGGCAGCCCAUCUGUGAGCCCCAGGGAGAUGCAAAGUUGGCCAGUGCUGGGGGCCAAUCCUUAUUUAUACCAUUUCCAGAUGGCGUCUUUUGAUUGAUACUUGGCAAGGACAAGAGUUCCGAGGGGAAAGGGGCCUUAGUUUAGCCCCCAGGAGGAGCAUCCUUUGGAAGGACCACCCAGG